RNAcentral lists this ribosomal RNA (419 nucleotides) under Peptostreptococcus stomatis. RNAcentral's name for it is "bacterial SSU rRNA". It matches the Rfam family "Bacterial small subunit ribosomal RNA", at positions 28 to 414 of the family's 1533-position model. Lineage: Bacteria; Bacillati; Bacillota; Clostridia; Peptostreptococcales; Peptostreptococcaceae. The record is from RNAcentral.
GAUGAACGCUGGCGGCGUGCCUAACACAUGCAAGUCGAGCGAGGGUUUGCUCAGUAUUGAGUAUUCUAAGACUAGAAUGUUCAAUUCUGAGCAAAACCAAGCGGCGGACGGGUGAGUAACGCGUGGGUAGCCUGCCCUAUACACAUGGAUAACAUACUGAAAAGUUUACUAAUACAUGAUAAUAUAUAUUUGCGGCAUCGCAGAUAUAUCAAAGUGUUAGCGGUAUAGGAUGGACCCGCGUCUGAUUAGCUAGUUGGUGAGAUAACUGCCCACCAAGGCGACGAUCAGUAGCCGACCUGAGAGGGUGAUCGGCCACAUUGGAACUGAGACACGGUCCAAACUCCUACGGGAGGCAGCAGUGGGGAAUAUUGCACAAUGGGCGAAAGCCUGAUGCAGCAACGCCGCGUGAACGAUGAAGG